AUCUCGGUGGUCUAGUUGGUAUGACACUGCUCUAGUGUCGUGGCAAAGGUCGUGGGUUCAAAUCCCACCCGAGUUA
This is a non-coding RNA of Asterias rubens (European starfish), 76 nucleotides long. NCBI's taxonomy places the organism in Eukaryota, Metazoa, Echinodermata, Asteroidea, Forcipulatida, Asteriidae. The record is from the annotation of a RefSeq genome assembly.